UGUGCAUAUGAAGAUGAACAGACAGGGACAUCAGAUCUCCAAAGAGAAUGAUGAUUUGUCAGAUGGGAAUCUCUCUGAUGCACA
RNAcentral lists this small nucleolar RNA (84 nucleotides) under Ipomoea nil (Japanese morning glory). RNAcentral's name for it is "Small nucleolar RNA R44/J54/Z268 family". It matches the Rfam family "Small nucleolar RNA R44/J54/Z268 family". From Rfam's summary of the family: R44, J54 and Z268 are members of the C/D class of snoRNA which contain the C (UGAUGA) and D (CUGA) box motifs. Most of the members of the box C/D family function in directing site-specific 2'-O-methylation of substrate RNAs. Lineage: Eukaryota; Viridiplantae; Streptophyta; Magnoliopsida; Solanales; Convolvulaceae. The record is from Rfam by way of RNAcentral.